This 292-nucleotide ribosomal RNA is filed under the name uncultured bacterium. RNAcentral's name for it is "partial 16S ribosomal RNA". It matches the Rfam family "Bacterial small subunit ribosomal RNA", at positions 505 to 796 of the family's 1533-position model. The record is from RNAcentral.
GUGUCAGCCGCCGCGGUAAUACAGAGGUCUCGAGCGUUGUUCGGAUUUAUUGGGCGUAAAGGGUGCGUAGGCGGUGUGGCAAGUCAAGUGUGAAAUCUCGGAGCUCAACUCUGAAACUGCACUUGUUACUGCCGUGCUAGAGGGUUGUAGAGGAGAUCGGAAUUCACGGUGUAGCAGUGAAAUGCGUAGAUAUCGUGAGGAAGACCAGUUGCGAAAGCGGAUCUCUGGGCAAUUCCUGACGCUGAGGCACGAAGGCUAGGGGAGCAAACGGGAUUAGAAACCCCCGUAGUCC